This 180-nucleotide non-coding RNA is filed under the name Desulfovibrio sp. 86. Lineage: Bacteria; Pseudomonadati; Thermodesulfobacteriota; Desulfovibrionia; Desulfovibrionales; Desulfovibrionaceae. RNAcentral also lists the same sequence under 1 other name. The record is from RNAcentral.
UACAGUAGGCGCGGCAAUGGUAGCCGGGUUGCCCGGCUUGAAAAGGGAAUCCCGUUAGAAGCGGGAGCGGACCCGCCGCCGUAAGGCUCGCCAACCUCGCACCACACAGCGCCACUGGAAACGGGAAGGCCGGUGAGAGGGAGCCAAGCCGGAAGACCUGCCUUGCCCCAUGCCCCGCCU